UGUGUUUGACUCUUAGAGGCUUACUACACAAUCUUGUUAUGUAUUUAGAUUUAUUAUUCUAAUCUAAUCUGAAGAAAUACAAAUAAUUGAGAAAUAGAUGAUUCCAAAUAGACUGUCCUCAUAGUUUCAAAGUCACAGUCUCUCAUGCAAGAUUGUCUAUAUUAACAGUGUUGUCUGUCAACAUUAUCCGUCCCUUUUGAGGGUAGUGUCAUCUGAUAACAUUUUUGAGUCAUGGGAAAUUUCCGGAAACAGAACAGCACACAGAAAGGACUGACCUAUUUCUCUUAGAGUAACAUCCUCGUGGCUCAUCCACUGCAGCCUCUUUAGUAGCAAGCUGUAUCCUGAAGGAGAACUGGAGAUUACCUCAACCAACCAAGUUGCCACUCUGAUGGCAGCUUCAGCUCCAGACACAGAGUUGUUUUUAGAAUUGAUUCCAACAGCCAAUUGGGCACAUGGUGCACAACCCUGAAUUGUUGGAUAUACUCUUCUCUUCUGAUCAGAACAGAAGUCUUAUUGGAAUUCAUGUGGAAAGGACAAUAGUUACUACUAGUCUUGCCCUAGAAUUAUGUUUACUCUACUUGGCCCUGUUAUAUAAGGGAACAAAGCCAUCUGGUGCAUCUGCAGAACACUAUGCUGAUCUACUUUGUCGAGACGUCAUGCUGAUUGGGUUGGAUAAGCAAGAAGCCAUGGAGGUCUUGGGAAGAUACAUGCACUCCAGAGGGUGGAUGCAGGAGCUAAACUCUGAGAAGAUUCAGGGACUUGUCACUUCAAUAAAGUUUUGAGGUGUUUAGAAGUCAGAGGAUUUGUAGAAUGUUUCUUACAGAGUUCAAGCAAAUUGUUGUUGCAUCUUGCAUCUCCUGCCACAAAGAAGGAAGUUGAUCACCUGGAUAGGUCCUUUGGGAUCUGGAGAUGACACCUUCUACAUCAGAUGACUUAGACCAUGGGCAGCUAGGAACAGGUCCUUGGGACAGGAAAGGGCUCUGCAGUAGGUUCACUCUGUAGUGGAUGCUUCCCUGCCACGUGGUCUGUGAAACCUACACUCCCCAUGGGGGUGUCAGUAGUAAGUGCACAUGCAAUGGGAGAAUCACAACACAGGCUCUUGGAAGAGAUGCAGUCCAUGCCAUCUGCAGCUGAAAAAUCCGCCCCCCCUUGGGACAUACUACCUGGCAUAGUACUGGACCCAGGUAAGUUUGGAAUGUCUGGCCAUAGGGUGCAUAUGUCCAUGCAUUUGAAAUUGAGCACUAUGAGCCUGUCACAUUUACCAAGUUAGAGUGAAUAGGCCACCCAGUAUUCCUUUGGAGGUUGGAAAUGGUACAUUCAAGGUCAGGGCUGUGAGUAACAAGCAGUCACUAUCCAAUUAAAAGAAAUCUGGGCAUAGAGCUUCUAUUCAAACAGAUUGUAGGAGGGAGGGGAGGAGGACUGUUGCAACAGGGAGGACCCUAGACAUGAGAUUGGCAGGUGUCUCUAAGGUCAGCCAGAGAGGAGCUUUUACAUUAUAGGGAGGAGUAAGGAGGCCAGAAAAAAAAAAAGAAGGACUGCAACAGGGGCUCGGGGAUUGUGUGUCUUUGAGACCAGCUGAUACUUAGGAGGGUUAAGGAGGCACCAUUCUGCAUUCAAGUGCUGAGCUAGGCUGAUGGUGGGCUGAAGAGAUGAGGAGAAAAUAGGAGGUGACUUAAAGGAAUAAAAGGUCUUCCACCUGUGAGAAUGGUUGCAGUCACAGCUCCCAGGAGUCUACCUUCCUGGAUCACUUCUAUUUGCUAAAUGAUUUUCCUUCCCCUUUCAUCAAAUGAUAAAUGCUCUUUCUCCAUUUCCUUGAGACUGGGCUGGCCUGUGGCUUGCUUUAUCUGAUAGGAUGUGCUGGAGAGGUGUGUGAGCUGGAGGCCUCGAAGGCCUUGCAGCUUCUGCUUAGAACCUCUUACAACGCCAACAUCAACUCCCCAUCAGCCUCCUGGGAAGAAGCCCAGUAACCCCAAUGGAAGCAUGAGAGGCCCUAGGAGAAGAAUUAAGAUGCCAUCGCCAACAGCUGGCACCAGCAUUCCAGAGUCUGAAUGAGGCCAGCUUGGAUCCCAAUCAGCUGCAUGAGUGACCCCAGCGUUUCUUCAGAGAAGAGUGUUAUCCUUCCAAUCCUACCUCCUGACCCGCACAGCUGGGACCUCUCUCCGUGGUAUCUUGCUGCCACUGCUUCAACACUCUACAGACUUGCCCUGAAUCUCACGCUUCAGGAAUCAGGGCAGGUCCCUUCCUCAGUUAAUAAAA
RNAcentral lists this long non-coding RNA (2256 nucleotides) under Homo sapiens (human). RNAcentral describes it as "HSALNT0037436". The record is from RNAcentral. Lineage: Eukaryota; Metazoa; Chordata; Mammalia; Primates; Hominidae.